CUUCGAGCUGUUACAAAGCGUCUCAUGUGAAGGAAAUGCAACUUUCGUGACCACGUCAAGCGUACUACUGAACUGUGAAGCUAACGCUCUGGAAACUAUCAUGAUCG
This is a long non-coding RNA of Austrofundulus limnaeus, 107 nucleotides long. RefSeq lists it as uncharacterized. The record is from RefSeq and is a predicted model, not a curated record. The transcript has 3 exons. Lineage: Eukaryota; Metazoa; Chordata; Actinopteri; Cyprinodontiformes; Rivulidae.